GUGGGGAAUUUUGGACAAUGGGCGAAAGCCUGAUCCAGCAAUGCCGCGUGCAGGAAGAAGGCCUUCGGGUUGUAAACUGCUUUUGUACGGAACGAAACGGUCCGGGUUAAUACCCUGGGCUAAUGACGGUACCGUAAGAAUAAGCACCGGCUAACUACGUGCCAGCAGCCGCGGUAAUACGUAGGGUGCAAGCGUUAAUCGGAAUUACUGGGCGUAAAGCGUGCGCAGGCGGUUUUGUAAGACAGGCGUGAAAUCCCCGGGCUCAACCUGGGAAUUGCGCUUGUGACUGCAAGGCUGGAGUGCGGCAGAGGGGGAUGGAAUUCCGCGUGUAGCAGUGAAAUGCGUAGAGAUGCGGAGGAACACCGAUGGCGAAGGCAGCCUCCUGGGAUAACACUGACGCUCAGGCACGAAAGCGUGGGGAGCAAACAGGAUUAGAAACCCCUGUAGUCC
RNAcentral lists this ribosomal RNA (450 nucleotides) under uncultured bacterium. RNAcentral's name for it is "partial 16S ribosomal RNA". It matches the Rfam family "Bacterial small subunit ribosomal RNA", at positions 354 to 796 of the family's 1533-position model. The record is from RNAcentral.